This 846-nucleotide ribosomal RNA is filed under the name uncultured bacterium. RNAcentral describes it as "bacterial SSU rRNA". It matches the Rfam family "Bacterial small subunit ribosomal RNA", at positions 1 to 838 of the family's 1533-position model. The record is from RNAcentral.
UAGAGUUUGAUCAUGGCUCAGGACGAACGCUGGCGGCGUGCUUAACACAUGCAAGUCGAACGGAGUCAUCAUUUUUGAAGCAAUUAGCUUGCUAAGAGUGGAAAUGUUGAUGACUUAGUGGCGGACGGGUGAGUAACGCGUGGGUAACCUGCCUUACACAGGGGGAUAACACUUAGAAAUAGGUGCUAAUACCGCAUAAGCGCACAGUCCCGCAUGGGACAGAGUGAAAAACAUUAGUGGUGUAAGAUGGACCCGCGUCUGAUUAGCUUGUUGGCGGGGUAACGGCCCACCAAGGCGACGAUCAGUAGCCGGCCUGAGAGGGUGGACGGCCACAUUGGGACUGAGACACGGCCCAAACUCCUACGGGAGGCAGCAGUGGGGGAUAUUGGACAAUGGGGGAAACCCUGAUCCAGCGACGCCGCGUGAGUGAAGAAGUAUUUCGGUAUGUAAAGCUCUAUCAGCAGGGAAGAAAGAAAUGACGGUACCUGAGUAAGAAGCCCCGGCUAACUACGUGCCAGCAGCCGCGGUAAUACGUAGGGGGCAAGCGUUAUCCGGAAUUACUGGGUGUAAAGGGAGCGUAGACGGUAAUGCAAGUCUGGAGUGAAAGGCGGGGGCCCAACCCCCGGACUGCUCUGGAAACUGUGUAACUGGAGUGCAGGAGAGGCAGGCGGAAUUCCUAGUGUAGCGGUGAAAUGCGUAGAUAUUAGGAGGAACACCAGUGGCGAAGGCGGCCUGCUGGACUGUAACUGACGUUGAGGCUCGAAAGCGUGGGGAGCAAACAGGAUUAGAUACCCUGGUAGUCCACGCCGUAAACGAUGAUUACUAGGUGUGAGUGGGUAUGGACCC